RNAcentral lists this ribosomal RNA (270 nucleotides) under uncultured prokaryote. RNAcentral describes it as "partial 16S ribosomal RNA". It matches the Rfam family "Archaeal small subunit ribosomal RNA", at positions 474 to 743 of the family's 1478-position model. The record is from RNAcentral.
UACUCGAGCCCCAAGUGGUAUUCGCGAUUAGUGGGUCUAAAGCGUCCGUAGCCGGUUCGAUAAGUCCCUGGUGAAAUCCUUUGGGUAAACUGAAGGGCUUGCUGGGGAUACUGUUGAACUUGGGACUGGGAGAGGAUAGACGUACUCCCGGGGGAGGGGUAAAAUCCUAUAAUCCUGGGGGGACGACCUGUGGCGAAGGCUUCUAUCUAGAACAGGUCCGACGGUGAGGGACGAAACCUAGGGUAGCGACCGGGAUUAGAUACCCCUGUA